Molecule: ribosomal RNA, 388 nt
Filed under: uncultured bacterium
Lineage: Bacteria
Description: bacterial SSU rRNA
Rfam family: Bacterial small subunit ribosomal RNA
Source: RNAcentral
AUUGAACGCUGGCGGCAUGCCUUACACAUGCAAGUCGAACGGCAGCACGGGAGCAAUCCUGGUGGCGAGUGGCGAACGGGUGAGUAAUACAUCGGAACGUGCCCAGUAGUGGGGGAUAACCCGGCGAAAGCCGGACUAAUACCGCAUACGACCUACGGGUGAAAGCAGGGGAUCGCAAGACCUUGCGCUAUUGGAGCGGCCGAUGUCAGAUUAGCUUGNGGUGGGGUAAAGCCUACCAAGGCAACGAUCUGUAGCUGGUCUGAGAGGACGACCAGCCACACUGGGACUGAGACACGGCCCAGACUCCUACGGGAGGCAGCAGUGGGGAAUUUUGGACAAUGGGCGCAAGCCUGAUCCAGCCAUGCCGCGUGCGGGAAGAAGGCCUCGG